CAGUCGCCGCGGUAAUACAGAGGGUGCGAGCGUUAAUCGGAUUUACUGGGCGUAAAGCGUGCGUAGGCGGCUUCUUAAGUCGGAUGUGAAAUCCCUGAGCUUAACUUAGGAAUUGCAUUCGAUACUGGGAAGCUAGAGUAUGGGAGAGGAUGGUAGAAUUCCAGGUGUAGCGGUGAAAUGCGUAGAGAUCUGGAGGAAUACCGAUGGCGAAGGCAGCCAUCUGGCCUAAUACUGACGCUGAGGUACGAAAGCAUGGGGAGCAAACAGGAUUAGAUACCCCGGUAGUCCCUGUCUCUAUACA
RNAcentral lists this ribosomal RNA (301 nucleotides) under uncultured bacterium. RNAcentral describes it as "partial 16S ribosomal RNA". It matches the Rfam family "Bacterial small subunit ribosomal RNA", at positions 509 to 808 of the family's 1533-position model. The record is from RNAcentral.